AUACGGAGGAUCCGAGCGUUAUCCGGAUUUAUUGGGUUUAAAGGGAGCGUAGGUGGAUUGUUAAGUCAGUUGUGAAAGUUUGCGGCUCAACCGUAAAAUUGCAGUUGAAACUGGCAGUCUUGAGUACAGCAGAGGUGGGCGGAAUUCGUGGUGUAGCGGUGAAAUGCUUAGAUAUCACGAAGAACUCCGAUUGCGAAGGCAGCUCACUAGACUGUUACUGACACUGAUGCUCGAAAGUGUGGGUAUCAAACAGGAUUAGAUACCCUGGUAGUCCACACAGUAAACGAUGAAUACUCGCUGUUUGCGAUAUACAGUAAGCGGCCAAGCGAAAGCAUUAAGUAUUCCACCUGGGGAGUACGCCGGCAACGGUGAAACUCAAAUGAAUUGGCGGGG
This 393-nucleotide ribosomal RNA is filed under the name uncultured bacterium. Its description in RNAcentral is "partial 16S ribosomal RNA". It matches the Rfam family "Bacterial small subunit ribosomal RNA", at positions 523 to 918 of the family's 1533-position model. The record is from RNAcentral.